CACUGAAUAUGUGUGCGAAAUAUCUUGCUCCAACUGUUCGUAGUUUUUUAGAAAACAGUUUUUUUAGUUCCCACGCCCGGCCGUCAGACCGUCGGCAAACCCUGCGCACGGGCGCACCGACGUCACUGCUCUCGGUUUAUCUGUCUUUGGCUUGGCAUGGACUCUUGGCUUGGCCGCUUGGCUUCUUUCGUUUCGUCCUCUGUGCGUCGUACAUAAGCGAACAGCUGUUAUGUUAUUGCUAAGCCGGAAACAAAGCAUGUGAAUACUUUUUUUUUUGGCACGGCGUCGUUUGGAAAGUGCACUUCCUUGUUCUGACCUUGCCUUUUAUGGGCUGGAGCGAUAUGCCACGGCGAAGUUGUCGAAGAUGCGACGGUGCUACGUGCUACGCUGUUAGAACAAUUCAUCGGAGCAUUCAAGUGUUACCUUUUAUAAGCUGCCAAAAGACCAAGCAGUGCGAAGCUCUUGGCUGACAGUGGUGCCUGCUAAUUUCCACUGCAAGGAUUUCGUCAACGAAUGUUAUCAUAGGUUACGCGCGACUCCAGAGGCAAUUUGGAAUAUCGGCACGAAAUCGUCGGAUGAAAAUCUGAGGUGCCCGACGCACAACAUUUUGAACGUGCCACGGAGGAUCAAGGCAAAAAACGAGAGCAAAAAAGGUGCACGCUGAAGGCGGAAAUGAAGCAUGAUCUGGCUUGCAUCUGGUGCAUGAAGAAAUUGCUGGCACGUUAGUUGCAGUCUACCUCCACCAACAGGGUGGAAAACAAAGGUCGCCAUUCCGAUUAGCUGCUAUCUCCCAGUUCAAGCACUUUUGCUGUCUGGACACUGGUUCCUGUGGAUGGGCUGUUACAAGCUUCACUGUCUGAUAUAGAAGUGAUGAGCAUCCAUAAGGACACAUGGCAGAAAGGGAGUCUCUUUGAGAUGACAAACCCUCAUCACCUCAUGAGGAUACAAUGGUUGACGAAUGGUUCUCAAGUACAUCGAAACUUCAACAAAUAAUUCAUGAAAAAGCCAGUCAGUGCUAGCACCAGGAAUUGAACGUGGACCGUCCUGCUACCAGUCAGAGAUGUUACAUUUCAGGCGCUCAUUGACUUUUGGUGAAUUACUUGUUGAC
Long non-coding RNA from Ornithodoros turicata, 1108 nucleotides. RefSeq lists it as uncharacterized. Lineage: Eukaryota; Metazoa; Arthropoda; Arachnida; Ixodida; Argasidae. The record is from RefSeq and is a predicted model, not a curated record. The transcript is spliced from 4 exons.